CAAGAUUGGUGGUAUUGGAACUGUCCCAGUUGGUCGUGUAGAGACUGGCGUAAUCAAGCCUGGUAUGGUUGUGACCUUUGGCCCUACUGGUUUGACAACUGAAGUCAAGUCUGUUGAGAUGCACCACGAAGCUCUCCAGGAGGCGCUCCCUGGAGACAAUGUUGGGUUCAAUGUUAAGAAUGUUGCUGUUAAGGAUCUUAAGCGUGGUUAUGUUGCCUCAAACUCCAAGGAUGACCCAGCUAAGGGGGCAGCCAGUUUCACUGCCCAGGUCAUCAUCAUGAACCAUCCUGGCCAGAUUGGAAAUGGAUAUGCACCAGUGCUUGACUGCCACACUUCCCACAUUGCUGUCAAGUUUGCUGAGAUCUUGACCAAGGUUGA
This 378-nucleotide unclassified non-coding RNA is filed under the name Hevea brasiliensis (rubber tree). The record is from RNAcentral. Lineage: Eukaryota; Viridiplantae; Streptophyta; Magnoliopsida; Malpighiales; Euphorbiaceae.